UAGGGAAUCUUCGGCAAUUGACGAAAGUCUGACCGAGCAACGCCGCGUGAGUGAAGAAGGUUUUCGGAUCGUAAAACUCUGUUGUUAGAGAAGAACAAGGACGUUAGUAACUGAACGUCCCCUGACGGUAUCUAACCAGAAAGCCACGGCUAACUACGUGCCAGCAGCCGUGGUAAUACGUAGGUGGCAAGCGUUGUCCGGAUUUAUUGGGCGUAAAGCGAGCGCAGGCGGUUUCUUAAGUCUGAUGUGAAAGCCCCCGGCUCAACCGGGGAGGGUCAUUGGAAACUGGGAGACUUGAGUGCAGAAGAGGAGAGUGGAAUUCCAUGUGUAGCGGUGAAAUGCGUAGAUAUAUGGAGGAACACCAGUGGCGAAGGCGGCUCUCUGGUCUGUAACUGACGCUGAGGCUCGAAAGCGUGGGGAGCAAACAGG
Molecule: ribosomal RNA, 429 nt
Filed under: Gemmatimonadota bacterium
Lineage: Bacteria; Pseudomonadati; Gemmatimonadota
Description: Gemmatimonadetes bacterium partial 16S ribosomal RNA
Rfam family: Bacterial small subunit ribosomal RNA
Source: RNAcentral